RNAcentral lists this long non-coding RNA (905 nucleotides) under Lotus japonicus. RNAcentral describes it as "long non-coding RNA (LJAP_LNC000338)". The record is from RNAcentral. Lineage: Eukaryota; Viridiplantae; Streptophyta; Magnoliopsida; Fabales; Fabaceae.
GCGGAUCCAGGACCCCCUGACUAGGGGGUUCAAAUUUUUCACAUGAAAACAUCGGUAAAAAUAUAAUUAAAAACAACUUUAAUAUGUUUAUACAUAAGAAAUUAUGCAAGUCAUAGUUGUCAUCUACGUGAUUUCAUAUUAUGAAAUAUUAUGAAAUCGUUGAACAAUUUACACUAGCAGUAGCGAUCCUUUUCUCCCCUCAAUCAAAGGAAAACUGAAUAAAGUUAAAUCUUACAUAAGACUUGUAGAAAUAUAUAAAAACGACUUUCUCUUAUCAUUUUACUUACUAACAGAAAUAGCAGCCCAAAUAAAUAAAAACAGAGGAAAAAAUACUUGUCAUUUGAAAUUUUAUAUCUGCAAAUAUUUAUGUAUAUAUGCACAUGUAUAUGUAUGUAUGAUUCAUUAAUAUUUAUGUAUAUAUGCACAUGCAAAAUAUCUUAGUUUAAAUUGACCAACUGAGGUGAGAAAUCUAAACUGAAAAUACCAGAAAAAAUAUAUUUUUCUCAUCGAACGUUUCCAAUUCAGUAAAGAUUAGAUAAAUGAAUAAUUCGAUUGUCUUCAAGAAUUAAGUAUCUAAAUCGAAACAGAAAAAUUAAACAAAGGAAGCAUAAUUUGAGAUUGAACUAUUUUGCAGACGAUGAUUCUGAUUGCAGUUCUCACAUCUCAGUUGAGUGGGACUUAGGCAGCGAGAGAAAGAUGGUGAGUGGCUGAGUGCGCGUGUGUGUGAGAGAGUGAGAGGAGUAAGUGAUGGUAAGUCUUUAGUGCAAAUAGGUGCAAAACUUGGUCUACUAGUAUAAUUUAAAAUUUUCAGGGGGUUCAAAAAAUAUAUUAUAUAGGAGUGUAAGUGCAAAAAAAAAUUGUUCAGGGGGUUCAUCUGAACCCCCUCACUUCCAAGUAGAUCCGCC